GAGGGUAUAGCUUAGUGGUAGAGCAUGUGCUGAGUAUGCAUGAGGUCCUGGGUUCAAUCCCCAGGAACCCCA
Molecule: transfer RNA, 72 nt
Filed under: Camelus bactrianus (Bactrian camel)
Lineage: Eukaryota; Metazoa; Chordata; Mammalia; Artiodactyla; Camelidae
Also listed under: 2 other names
Rfam family: tRNA
About the family: Transfer RNA (tRNA) molecules are approximately 80 nucleotides in length. Their secondary structure includes four short double-helical elements and three loops (D, anti-codon, and T loops). Further hydrogen bonds mediate the characteristic L-shaped molecular structure. tRNAs have two regions of fundamental functional importance: the anti-codon, which is responsible for specific mRNA codon recognition, and the 3' end, to which the tRNAs corresponding amino acid is attached (by aminoacyl-tRNA synthetases). tRNAs cope with the degeneracy of the genetic code in two manners: having more than one tRNA (with a specific anti-codon) for a particular amino acid; and 'wobble' base-pairing, i.e. permitting non-standard base-pairing at the 3rd anti-codon position.
Source: Rfam by way of RNAcentral